GGCUUAUGUUGCUUCACCAUGGAUAAGUCCCACCACUUCGAUCACAAAAAACCUGUUUCUUCUUUCCAGGCAUAAUCAAUCAUUGACUGGGGCUGAAAAGACUGAAACACUAGACUGCAGUAAACUAAGAAUUCAGGACCCUGUUUCACAGAAUGAGUCUCAGCUGAUUGCCCUCACAUUGUCUGACUAAUGUCAUGCCCGUAACAGAAAGCAGGUGAACCCCUUAGCUGCAAUGGGACUUAGAUACCAAGUUGGAAAACAUCCUUCAUGAGCAUAUGUUCUCUGACAAGCAUGCUACAGCUCUAGAGACACUUUGUGCACAAUGUGCCACAGUGAGACCCAUCUUCAAAAGGUACUCUGAGGCAUGUUCUGGGGGAGGGAGGGAUGAAAUAAAGAUGUCUGGCUUGGUGAUUUAAA
Calypte anna (Anna's hummingbird) is the source of this 417-nucleotide long non-coding RNA. RefSeq lists it as uncharacterized. The transcript has 3 exons. The record is from RefSeq and is a predicted model, not a curated record. NCBI's taxonomy places the organism in Eukaryota, Metazoa, Chordata, Aves, Apodiformes, Trochilidae.